Molecule: long non-coding RNA, 702 nt
Organism: Mytilus californianus (California mussel)
Lineage: Eukaryota; Metazoa; Mollusca; Bivalvia; Mytilida; Mytilidae
Exons: 2
Source: RefSeq, a predicted model, not a curated record
AAAGUACCUGCUGGGAUCUACCGCAGGAAUUCUCAGUUUUCAAAAUUCAUACUUGUCUGGGCUCUACCACUCAGGUUCUAAAAGUACCUGUUGGGAUCUACCGCAGGAAUUCUCAGUUUUCAAAAUUCAUACUUGUCUGGGCUCUACCACUCAGGUUCUAAAAGUACCUGUUGGGAUCUACCGCAGGAAUUCUCAGUUUUCAAAAUUCAUACUUGUCUGGGCUCUACCACUCAGGUUCUAAAAGUACCUGUUGGGAUCUACCGCAGGAAUUCUCAGUUUUCAAAAUUCAUACUUGUCUGGGCUCUACCACUCAGGUUCUAAAAGUACCUGUUGGGAUCUACCGCAGGUAUUCUCAUUUUUCAAAUUUAUACCUGUCUGGGUUCUACCAGUCAGGUUCUAAAAUAAAUUUUUCACCUGUCAGGGCUCUACUGCAGGUUCUUAAAAUUGCAUAAUUUAGGCAUUUUAUUUUUUAAUUAAUUUAAAAUUAUGUUGAGUAGGUAAUGUUUUUGAUUUGAUUAUUUUAAUUAGUAUUAUUGUAAGUUUUAAUGAGUAGCCCCCUAGAAAGCCAAAUGAUACAUUUAUUAUUAUUUUCAUAUGUAUUCAGUAUAAUAGAUUUAGAACUGAUUGUGAAUAUGAUACUAGUAUACUGUGUAUACAAUGGUGUCUUAGUAUAUUAGUUUGUUAAUAAAAUUAGAAUAGUUA